Molecule: transfer RNA, 69 nt
Filed under: Grammatobothus polyophthalmus (threespot flounder)
Lineage: Eukaryota; Metazoa; Chordata; Actinopteri; Pleuronectiformes; Bothidae
Description: tRNA-Ala
Rfam family: tRNA
About the family: Transfer RNA (tRNA) molecules are approximately 80 nucleotides in length. Their secondary structure includes four short double-helical elements and three loops (D, anti-codon, and T loops).
Source: RNAcentral
AAAGCCUUAGCUUAAUUAAAGUCUCUGUUUUGCAUGCAGAAGAUGUGGGAUAAUCCCCCGCAGGUUUUA